Molecule: ribosomal RNA, 253 nt
Filed under: uncultured bacterium
Lineage: Bacteria
Description: partial 16S ribosomal RNA
Rfam family: Bacterial small subunit ribosomal RNA
Source: RNAcentral
UACGUAGGGUGCGAGCGUUAAUCGGAAUUACUGGGCGUAAAGCGUGCGCAGGCGGUCAUUUAAGUCUGCUGUGAAAGCCCCGGGCUCAACCUGGGAAUUGCGGUGGAAACUGGAUGGCUGGAGUGUGGCAGAGGGGGGUGGAAUUCCACGUGUAGCAGUGAAAUGCGUAGAGAUGUGGAGGAACACCGAUGGCGAAGGCAGCCCCCUGGGCUAACACUGACGCUCAGGCACGAAAGCGUGGGGAGCAAACAGG